RNAcentral lists this ribosomal RNA (999 nucleotides) under uncultured organism. RNAcentral describes it as "bacterial SSU rRNA". It matches the Rfam family "Bacterial small subunit ribosomal RNA", at positions 356 to 1376 of the family's 1533-position model. The record is from RNAcentral.
GGGGAAUAUUGCACAAUGGAGGAAACUCUGAUGCAGCGAUGCCGCGUGAGGGAAGAAGGUUUUAGGAUUGUAAACCUCUGUCUUCAGGGACGAAAAAAGGACGGUACCUGAGGAGGAAGCUCCGGCUAACUACGUGCCAGCACCCGCGGUAAUACGUAGGGAGCGAGCGUUGUCCGGAAUUACUGGGUGUAAAGGGAGCGUAGGCGGGAUCGCAAGUCAGAUGUGAAAACUAUGGGCUUAACCCAUAAACUGCAUUUGAAACUGUGGUUCUUGAGUGAAGUAGAGGUAAGCGGAAUUCCUAGUGUAGCGGUGAAAUGCGUAGAUAUUAGGAGGAACAUCAGUGGCGAAGGCGGCUUACUGGGCUUUAACUGACGCUGAGGCUCGAAAGCGUGGGGAGCAAACAGGAUUAGAUACCCUGGUAGUCCACGCCGUAAACGAUGAUUACUAGGUGUGGGGGGACUGACCCCUUCCGUGCCGCAGCAAACGCAAUAAGUAAUCCACCUGGGGAGUACGACCGCAAGGUUGAAACUCAAAGGAAUUGACGGGGGCCCGCACAAGCAGUGGAGUAUGUGGAUUAAUUCGAAGCAACGCGAAGAACCUUACCAGGUCUUGACAUCGUAUGCAUAGCUCAGAGAUGAGUGAAAUCUCUUCGGAGACAUAUAGACAGGUGGUGCAUGGUUGUCGUCAGCUCGUGUCGUGAGAUGUUGGGUUAAGUCCCGCAACGAGCGCAACCCUUACUGUUAGUUGCUACGCAAGAGCACUCUAGCAGGACUGCCGUUGACAAAACGGAGGAAGGUGGGGAUGACGUCAAAUCAUCAUGCCCCUUAUGACCUGGGCCUCACACGUACUACAAUGGCUGUAAACAGAGGGAAGCAAAGCCGCGAGGUAGAGCGAACCCCUAAAAGCAGUCUUAGUUCGGAUUGUAGGCUGCAACCCGCCUACAUGAAGUCGGAAUUGCUAGUAAUCGCAGAUCAGCAUGCUGCGGUGAAUACGUUCCCG